RNAcentral lists this RNase P RNA (327 nucleotides) under human gut metagenome. RNAcentral's name for it is "Bacterial RNase P class A". It matches the Rfam family "Bacterial RNase P class A". From Rfam's summary of the family: Ribonuclease P (RNase P) is a ubiquitous endoribonuclease, found in archaea, bacteria and eukarya as well as chloroplasts and mitochondria. Its best characterised activity is the generation of mature 5'-ends of tRNAs by cleaving the 5'-leader elements of precursor-tRNAs. Cellular RNase Ps are ribonucleoproteins. The record is from RNAcentral.
AGCGGACUGAGCAGUCGCGUGCACCUUUUGGUGUAUGAGGAAAGUCCGAGCCCCGCAGGACAGGAUAACGGCUAACGGCCGCCGAGGGUGACCUUAGGGAAAGUGCAACAGAGAUAUACCGCCGAGAAAUCGGUAAGGGUGGAAAGGCGAGGUAAGAGCUCACCGGAACGCGGGGAACCGCGUUGCCCUGUAAACCCUAUCCGGAGCAACAUCAACUGGGACGAUACGCUUGUCCGGCGUGUUCCGAAAGAUGGCUUGAGCGGCGGGAGCAAUCCCCCGUCGAGAUAGAUGACUGCUUUCAACAGAACUCGGCUUAUAGGUUCGGUC